UCUAAAAAAAUAAUCUAUGCAAUUGAGAUUUAAAUGAAUUAAAAAAUUUUGAUGACGGCAUCUAGCAUGGCGAAGGAAAAUAAGUUGUCUCCAUUGGACCAUUAUUUACAGCCUUUAGAUUGAUCUGAGAAGUAAAAUUUUAUCCUACACCUUAUCCAUCAAAUUCCUUCCCCAACCUUCCACAGCCUCAUGUUUUGUUCCUUUUUCACUUGUUUUCUGGCACUAGAUCCGGAGAUCUCUCCGUGCUACACGCCGUCGAUCUCAAGCCCCCACAUAUUGGUGUUGGGGUUCAGGAUCUGGUCGUCGAUGCCGGAGAAUUCGUCGGCGACGGCAAGCAUGUCGGAGAAUGACGGAAGUGUUGUCGAAGACUCUGGGAGGGAGAGUACAGAGAGGAAGAAAGGAAGACAAAGAUUGGAUGAGGAAUGGUGUACAAUAAAAUUUUGCACCUAGAUUCAUCUGAAGGCUGUAAAUAAUGGUUUAUGGAAGAGCAUUUACUUUGCUUCUCCACGCUAGCCGCCGUCAAUUUUGAUGCAUCGUAUAAGAAAUCAAAUAUUAAGGAAGUGUAUUAGAUUAAGAUUUUAAAAGAAAAUUUUCACAGUUUUUUUAGAUUACAUUUAAAUUGAUGGAAAAACUUAUAAAAUAAAA
Molecule: long non-coding RNA, 645 nt
Organism: Glycine soja
Lineage: Eukaryota; Viridiplantae; Streptophyta; Magnoliopsida; Fabales; Fabaceae
Exons: 2
Source: RefSeq, a predicted model, not a curated record